Molecule: ribosomal RNA, 483 nt
Filed under: uncultured bacterium
Lineage: Bacteria
Description: bacterial SSU rRNA
Rfam family: Bacterial small subunit ribosomal RNA
Source: RNAcentral
AUGAACGCUAGCGGCAGGCCUAAUACAUGCAAGUCGAGCGGCAAGUCGAGGAGUAAUCUAAGACCUAGAGCGGCGCACGGGUGCGUAACGCGUAUGCAACCUACCUUAUACUGGGGGAUAGCCCGGAGAAAUCUGGAUUAAUACCCCAUGGCACAUAUUGAUGGCAUCUGAGAUAUGUUAAAGAUUUAUUGGUAUAAGAUGGGCAUGCGUCUGAUUAGCUAGUUGGCGGUGUAACGGACCACCAAGGCGACGAUCAGUAGGGGUUCUGAGAGGAAGGUCCCCCACACUGGCACUGAGAUACGGGCCAGACUCCUACGGGAGGCAGCAGUAGGGAAUAUUGGGCAAUGGUCGGAAGACUGACCCAGCCAUGCCGCGUGCAGGAAGACGGCCCUCUGGGUUGUAAACUGCUUUUUAUCUGGGAAGAAAAAGGCCAUGCGUGGCAAAUUGCCGGUACCAGAUGAAUAAGCACCGGCUAACUCCGUG